GGGGAUAUAGCUUACUGGUAUAGCACUUUUUUUGCGAAAAAGAAAAUUUCGGUUCAAUUCCGAAUAUCUCCA
RNAcentral lists this transfer RNA (72 nucleotides) under Myotis davidii. It matches the Rfam family "tRNA". From Rfam's summary of the family: Transfer RNA (tRNA) molecules are approximately 80 nucleotides in length. Their secondary structure includes four short double-helical elements and three loops (D, anti-codon, and T loops). Lineage: Eukaryota; Metazoa; Chordata; Mammalia; Chiroptera; Vespertilionidae. The record is from Rfam by way of RNAcentral.